RNAcentral lists this ribosomal RNA (253 nucleotides) under uncultured bacterium. RNAcentral's name for it is "partial 16S ribosomal RNA". It matches the Rfam family "Bacterial small subunit ribosomal RNA", at positions 524 to 776 of the family's 1533-position model. The record is from RNAcentral.
UACAGAGGUCCCGAGCGUUGUUCGGAUUCACUGGGCGUAAAGGGUGCGUAGGUGGCAUAGUAAGUUUGAUGUGAAAGCUCAGGGCUUAACCCUGAAAUGGCAUUGAAUACUGCUGUGCUGGAGGUUUGGAGGGGGGACUGGAAUUCUUGGUGUAGCAGUGAAAUGCGUAGAUAUCAAGAGGAACACCAGUGGCGAAGGCGAGUCCCUGGACAACACCUGACACUGAGGCACGAAAGCUAGGGGAGCAAACAGG